GUUCCCCGGGCGAUGCCGGGCGGCCGCAGCGCUGCCGGGCCGUUCCCGGCUCUCCCGGAGCCCCUCCGGCUCUCCCGGAGCCCCAGGCUGUUCCCUUCCACGUCUUCAGGUGUUUGCUCGGCACUCGGGACCCCUUCCCCGUGAAGGAGCUGUCUCUGCGAGAAACCGCCUGACGCCGCAGCGGGAUGGAUCCAGACUCACCGUGACGGGAAACGGUGAUAAAGGAUCAGCUGGGCAUCGCUCAGAUUUCAUUUUAACAGAAGUCGAGGAAAGAAUGCUACAAGAAGUUGAGUCAUUCAAAUGGUCUGCACAGAACCACAUUUUUGUGAAGACUGAACCCCUUCAUGUGGCUCUGCACUUGAAGCCACAUCUGCCUUUCUCCCCUUCCCAUGUCUGUGUGGGUGGAACAAUAGGAGUGAAGUGAGAUCUACCCCACAGGUCAGUCACACUGCCAUCAUCCACCCUGUCACACACUGUCCUGCGACCUGGGACUGACGUCAGCCACAUCUCUGAGCUGAGAGCUCCUACCUUGUGAAGAAGGGCAGCAUUAUACCCUGCCAACUUCAAAAAACACCUGGUAAAUAAUAAUGGUUUCCUAAACCAGCUGGGAAAAUUUAUGGAAUGAUGUAAAUCCUUAAUUGUAACAGUUGCUUUGGUGACAGCCUCAGUCAGCAUCCACAAGCACACGCAGGCAGAGGCUUCAUUGAGCAAUUGUGCAGUGCUGUCAGCAAACCCUGCUGCCUCUGGCCUGAGCUGAUGGCAGUACUGUGAAGGCAAUGUUUGAUUUCUGUGUCACCUGCAUGUUCACACAAGCGUCCUUACCAAGGGCUGGGGAUCCUCAGCAUCAACACAGGCUGUUGCUAAGGUGUGUCCCUUCACAGGGUGCCAAACCUCUGCAUUACAAAAUUAAUUUCCUCUGGCAAGGUGCAGCAGCUGAAGUACACAGUGCAGCAGCACUGGGCACCGUCCUAAGGCAAUCACUCUGGAUUUUAGAGACCAAAAUUUGCAUGGAUAUUCACAAUUAUUUCCCCACCUGGGUUUGCUCACCAUAUAUUUGAGUGUGGUUUAGAAGCUUUGAAAUUCCGAAUGGCUUUGCCAAAUGAAGAAAACUGAGGAGCACUGUAAGAGAAAGUCUUAGUAAACAACAGUUGGACAUCUGCUUUGAGCUCUGGUGAGUGCAUUGUGCAGUUCAUAACACUCAUUUGACUUGCAGUGUGCAUUUCCAUCUGGAAAACAGAAAUCAUCUUCCUUAGCCUUCCUCAGCCCAAACAAGAUUUGCCAUCUGGUAGUCUUAUGCUCUGUGGGUUUCUGGUGUAUUUAAAUGCUUCUGAAGGCACCAACCACUGCUAAUGCUGGUGAGAUACUCAGAUUGAAUCAGAACUACAUAUCUACUUUGCCUUAACUAUUUUGUAGUUAAAAGGAGUGGUAAUAAACUUGCUUGAGCAUCCUCUGACUAUGAUCCAUAUUACAUCAACUAGUGAUUCCUUCAUUUUAUCCAUCCUGCCAUAUGAUACAGGCUUUAUCUUUUAUAUGUGGCCUCACAAACAUAUCAGCAAAUAUUAUGAGUUGUUACAUCCACGGCUUAAUGUCACUAAAAUAUCUCAGAUGGCCACUCUGCUCCUGCACAGCCUGGGCAGCCUCACACAAGGUCACUGUGGCACAGUCAAUGCACCUUGCACAGCAGAUGCUCAUAGAUGAGGGUGAUGCCAUGAGUGCAGUCUCUCUGCAGCUUGAGCUGCUUUCCCCUUCACAUAGCCUCUCAGCAUCCCAAAAAUCCAGACACACAAGUCUGGAGGGGAGGAUAUUCCCAUACACACAUGUGUUUCCAUUCACCUCAGCUAUAACAUGUAGGGACUGCCAUGGGGUCACUGGGUCUCUCUGCCUCUCCUGUCCAAACUAUUCCAGUUUAUGAAUACUGCUUGUUAGCACGCUGGUUUGAAUUCAAUCAGUAAAUAUUUGUUACUCAAUUCAAUUGCUGUUCAGGCCUUAGUCUUUGCAGUGUGAAAUAACUGCAGGGAACCAGAAACACCAGACUUAGGUGUAUAAAUACCACGGAAAGUUGGAGGCUGAGGAUCCUGAGACAAAAGAGGCCCAGUAAGGCUGCCUGUCUGAUCAAGGAGACAAAGAGCUGUCUGUACUGCUGUAGAAGAAAGCCAAAGUAAGAGCUCUCGAGUAAUUUAUUACAGAUUUAAGGAACUGACUCCAACUUCUUCUACAAAAAAAAAAGCCUUUGGAACUGCAUAAAAAUCAAUGGGAUUGUGGCCUUAGUCCCUUCUAACACCAUUUAAAUAUAUGAUUCAUAUAGCAUGAGUAAUAAUAAUUUAAAAAAAUCCAAAACAUCUUCCCUCUAUUUUAUUGCUUUACUAGCACUGAUACACUUAUUUCAAAAAAAUCUUCCAGUAGCUUCUACAUAAAAUGAUAAAAGCAUUUUAGCCACAGCAGUGCUUUGCAGGUACACAUAUUAACAUUUGAAUCUUAAACUCUCAUUUGGGGCAUGUGCUUCAGAGGCUUUUCUGUGCAAGAGAAUUCCUCUGUUCACAUGCAUGAGGACACCAUUGUUUGUGUGUGAGAAAAAAAAAUCCUGAAGAUGUGUUAAUUCCUUAUUUCUGAAUAAGCACAUGGCAGUUUUUAAUGUUACUAUAGGAAAUGUAUUUUUACACAAUAUAAAACAUGAGAGAAUCAACACUUUUUUUUUACUCAUACUAGCUAUGUUUUCUAUGGAGAUAAAUCUUUAAGAUCGUCUCUGACAAGUCAAGACCAGGGCAUAGGUCAGAUAACAGUGAAAACUUAGGGAAACAGUUCCUUCCAUUGCCUGCUGGGGUUCCAGGCAGAUCUGUUGGGUUUUUUUCUGUCUGAGCCAUCAGUUGAUUUAUGGUUGCAUUUGCUUAUAGCUGUGUUUCUACAAAAAUAAUGGAGGCACUGGAUAUUUUAAACUAAACACUAUUCACAAACAGUCAGAGAGAGAUAAACUUUAAUAAAACUAUUUGGGAGAACUGUCUGCUUCACUGAUAAAGGAUAACUCAGGACACCCAGAUGUUUCCAUGGUGUAAACUUUAUGAUGAAAAGCCCACACUGUUUCCAUUGACUGCUGCUUGCAAAUUUCAGACCUUGAAGGGGUCUGGUCUGUACUUUUGCAAGUCUGCUCCCAAGAGCAGCUGGGCAAUCCCAGCUGCAGUCACGGAAACAUUUGGGUCUGCAGGGGCAUCUGGAGCACAUCUGGUUGAAGCAGGUCCACUUAGAUUGGGUUGUUCAAGGACUUUAGAAUGAUAAAAUUAUUUCAGUCCAGCUCCAAAUUAAAUUCACUGUGUAUCCAGUGAAUCAUCACGUGCAAGGGGAGAGCUGAAUCUCAGGAGGAACAUUUGCUCAUUAGAGUGGCUGGGAAUUAGUCAGUGGUAGAAAAAGCACUUGGCUCCCUCAUGAAACCUCAAUGAAUAGAAAGGCUUAUACGAGCUGAAGAGCUAACUUUCCUUAAAUCCUGUGCUAAUAUAUGGUUAUUGGGAUGUGAAAUACAGUGCUCCAUUCAGACAGGAAGGUUUUUCUUCAAAUGAAGGGCACAAUCUGCAUUUUUCUACACCAUUCAUCAAAUGCACUGCUAGAAGUUUGUCCUUCCAGUUUUGGAAGGUAGUAGCUCGAAUUAGUGAUAAUCCUAUAAUAGUGAAAUUAAAGGAAUAGACUUGAACUUUGAAAUGUUUUAUUUGGUGUCCAGUAAACUGUUUGAAAAGGGGUUCUUCAGGGUAAGCAAGCUAUGAGCAAGGCUGAGGGCCCUGUAACCCUUCAAGGUGGCUUACAGAAACCAGAGGUCGAUAGCCACCAUAACAGGCACAAAAUGCACAGAAGCCUGUGAAUGCAAGAUUUGGUCCAAGAAAUAAACUAUUUGGCCCAGUGGCACUAAACUCAGAUGAGAGACAGUGGAGCAGAGCCAAUGACAACAGAUGGGAGCACACGUGAUCACUGCAGCUCUGCUUCUUGGAUGUAGCAGUGGAGCUGGAAGCCUGUGGCAUUCCUGUGACCUGGCUCCUCAUGCCUACACUGACCUCAGUGAAAAAGUGCCAUGGCUUGAGGCAAGCAGGGCUGUGGAGCCUCUGGGCAGCACCCCCAGCAUCUGCUCACAGAUAAGCCACUGCCACUGAAAGGGCAACACAUGGACAGGGGCUACUGAGUCAGGCACAGUGAGGUUCACCACAAGUGGUUCAGUGGGGUCAUCCUUUAGCCCUGAGGAUACUGGAACAGGUAAACUCUUGCAUUAAAGUUGUUUUAUGUGCUAAUAUAGGAAUCUUACUUGACUUGCAUCAACAACUGACUAGUGCAAUGGCACUGAAAAGGAUCAAGCACCUAAAUACCUGGUUCAUUUGGAGAUGAAACUGUGUUUGGCUAGAACAACAAAAGACCCACCAGGUCCCUGUGAAGAAAAAAGAGGUUUUGAGCCCUUCUUUAAGUUAUAUUUUUACAGCAGGUGCUCAUCUAACUACGAUUUUGUGAGGCACAACUUAGUGUGCCUUGCUUCUAUCCUUUUAACUUUGCUGUAAUUGCAGGACUUCUUGGUUGAUUAAAGAUCUUAUUUAUGAGUUCAUAAAUUCCCAUUGUCAAGUAGAGGAACUUUCAGGAUGUGUGCCCUAAAAAUGCUGAAAUGCUG
Molecule: long non-coding RNA, 4633 nt
Organism: Cyanistes caeruleus (blue tit)
Lineage: Eukaryota; Metazoa; Chordata; Aves; Passeriformes; Paridae
Source: RefSeq, a predicted model, not a curated record